Molecule: ribosomal RNA, 696 nt
Filed under: uncultured Leuconostoc sp.
Lineage: Bacteria; Bacillati; Bacillota; Bacilli; Lactobacillales; Lactobacillaceae
Description: bacterial SSU rRNA
Rfam family: Bacterial small subunit ribosomal RNA
Source: RNAcentral
GAGAAAGGUGCUUGCACCUUUCAAGUGAGUGGCGAACGGGUGAGUAACACGUGGAUAACCUACCUCAAGGUUGGGGAUAACAUUUGGAAACAGAUGCUAAUACCGAAUAAAACUUCGUAUCGCAUGAUACAAGGUUAAAAGGCGCUACGGCGUCACCUAGAGAUGGAUCCGCGGUGCAUUAGUUAGUUGGUGGGGUAAAGGCCUACCAAGACAAUGAUGCAUAGCCGAGUUGAGAGACUGAUCGGCCACAUUGGGACUGAGACACGGCCCAAACUCCUACGGGAGGCUGCAGUAGGGAAUCUUCCACAAUGGGCGAAAGCCUGAUGGAGCAACGCCGCGUGUGUGAUGAAGGCUUUCGGGUCGUAAAGCACUGUUGUAUGGGAAGAACAGCUAGAGUAGGGAAUGACUUUAGUUUGACGGUACCAUACCAGAAAGGGACGGCUAAAUACGUGCCAGCAGCCGCGGUAAUACGUAUGUCCCGAGCGUUAUCCGGAUUUAUUGGGCGUAAAGCGAGCGCAGACGGUUGAUUAAGUCUGAUGUGAAAGCCCGGAGCUCAACUCCGGAAAGGCAUUGGAAACUGGUCAACUUGAGUGCAGUAGAGGUAAGUGGAACUCCAUGUGUAGCGGUGGAAUGCGUAGAUAUAUGGAAGAACACCACCGGCGAAGGCGGCUUACUGGACUGUAACUGACGUUGAGG